RNAcentral lists this ribosomal RNA (200 nucleotides) under uncultured bacterium. Its description in RNAcentral is "partial 16S ribosomal RNA". It matches the Rfam family "Bacterial small subunit ribosomal RNA", at positions 29 to 256 of the family's 1533-position model. The record is from RNAcentral.
AACGAACGCUGGCGGCAGGCCUAACACAUGCAAGUCGAACGCCCUAGCAAUAGGGAGUGGCAGACGGGUGAGUAACGCGUGGGAACCUUCCCUAUAGUACGGAAUAUACCAGGGAAACUUGGAGCAAUACCGUAUACGCCCGAAAGGGGAAAGAUUUAUCGCUAUAGGAUGGGCCCGCGUAGGAUUAGCUAGUUGGUGAG